Molecule: ribosomal RNA, 622 nt
Filed under: Bacteroidetes bacterium M2
Lineage: Bacteria; Pseudomonadati; Bacteroidota
Description: bacterial SSU rRNA
Rfam family: Bacterial small subunit ribosomal RNA
Source: RNAcentral
AGUUUGAUCCUGGCUCAGGAUGAACGCUAGCGGCAGGCUUAACACAUGCAAGUCGAGGGGUAGGAUUCUUCGGAAUCUGAGACCGGCGCACGGGUGCGUAACGCGUAUGCAAUCUGCCUUUCACAGAGGGAUAGCCCAGAGAAAUUUGGAUUAAUACCUCAUAGCAUAAUGAGUUGGCAUCAGCACAUUAUUAAAGUCACAACGGUGAAAGAUGAGCAUGCGUCCCAUUAGCUAGUUGGUAAGGUAACGGCUUACCAAGGCAACGAUGGGUAGGGGUCCUGAGAGGGAGAUCCCCCACACUGGUACUGAGACACGGACCAGACUCCUACGGGAGGCAGCAGUGAGGAAUAUUGGUCAAUGGGCGCAAGCCUGAACCAGCCAUGCCGCGUGCAGGAUGACGGUCCUAUGGAUUGUAAACUGCUUUUGUACGGGAAGAAACACUCCUUCGUGAAGGAGCUUGACGGUACCGUAAGAAUAAGGAUCGGCUAACUCCGUGCCAGCAGCCGCGGUAAUACGGAGGAUCCAGCGUUAUCCGGAAUCUUGGGUUUAAAGGGUUCGUAGGCGGUCUUGUAAGUCAGUGGUGAAAGCCCAUCGCUCACGGUGGAACGGCCAUUGAUACUGG